This 75-nucleotide transfer RNA is filed under the name Triticum aestivum (bread wheat). It matches the Rfam family "tRNA". From Rfam's summary of the family: Transfer RNA (tRNA) molecules are approximately 80 nucleotides in length. Lineage: Eukaryota; Viridiplantae; Streptophyta; Magnoliopsida; Poales; Poaceae. The record is from Rfam by way of RNAcentral.
UGAGGUGUAGUGUAGUCUGGUCAAUGCAUCUGUUAUGGGUACAGAUGGCCAUAGGUUCAAAUCCUGUCACCUUCA